This 904-nucleotide long non-coding RNA is filed under the name Macaca mulatta (Rhesus monkey). RNAcentral describes it as "lncRNA (ENSMMUG00000060446.1)". The record is from RNAcentral. Lineage: Eukaryota; Metazoa; Chordata; Mammalia; Primates; Cercopithecidae.
AGGAAGCUGUGUCUCCGUGGUGCCUGCAUUCAAUUAACAUUUUAGUACAGCACUUGUGAAUCUUCCGAAAAUGGCCUCUCCCUGGCACCGGCUGCGAAUUUAUCACUUUUAAAGAGGCAAUGUGCAAUUACUCGUGACUGAAAAAUGCAGGAGAAAAUUUCAUGGAAACAGCCUACCAUCACAAUGAAGCACCUUUCCAACACUUAUCGUCGUAAAUGCUACUCUUGGAAUAAGUCGUUUCUUUUGAUAAGACUUUGAACGUGGUUCAAUAAAUGAGAGAGAAUUCAUGCAAAAAUGUACGUCGUUGAAAAGGUUGACUUGGAAUUAUGCUCAUGAUUGGUGGAGAGAUUCAUAUCCAUGAUGUCAUACUCAUUUGACCCUGUUGCCAUUCCUCGACUGGAGGAACUAGAGCAGGAGAACAUGCUUGCACCUCACUGAUGCAGGACCUGCUUCCUUCAGCCCAUGAUGUAUGGAGCAGCCUUUCAGACAACUCCAGGAGAAGAAAGGUGUGAGACUGGAAGCUAUAAACAUAGUUGCUGGCUGUUGAUCAGAUUAGUUUAAAAGUGAAGAAGACCUGAGCUAAUAUGAAGAUGAAAAUUGAGCGAGCUGAAGAAAAUAGUUUCAGCCUUCCAGUUCCCCAUCCUUAGCUGUCCUGCGGCACACACGUGGAGUAAGCAGAGAGGGGCGUGGUCCAGCCUGCUGCAUCGAUGAUGGUGCUGCCUUGUGCCUGUUCAGCAUUGAAAACUAUGUUCAUGUGAAAAUCACGAGUAAAAUUAAUGAAUCAUAAAUGUAGGACCCAGCCCAGGAUCUGAUUUUAAAGCUAAGGUACUACAGUAAUACUUGCACUGCCCUGCUGUGGGUUUUUAAAAUUUUUAUGUAAUUAUGUCUCCAUUGUAAUGAUGAG